RNAcentral lists this ribosomal RNA (717 nucleotides) under uncultured Actinomycetes bacterium. RNAcentral describes it as "bacterial SSU rRNA". It matches the Rfam family "Bacterial small subunit ribosomal RNA", at positions 31 to 746 of the family's 1533-position model. Lineage: Bacteria; Bacillati; Actinomycetota; Actinomycetes. The record is from RNAcentral.
GAACGCUGGCGGCGUGCUUACACAUGCAAGUCGAACGGGAUCCAAGGGUGCUUGCAUCCUUGGUGAGAGUGGCGAACGGGUGAGUAACACGUGAGUAACCUGUCCUCUUCUUUGGGAUAAGCUCCUGAAAGGGUGUUUAAUACCUUAUGUUCUGUCUGCCUCGCAUGGGGUGGGUGGGAAAGAUUUUUUCGGUGAAGGGUGGGCUCGCGGUCUAUCAGCUUGUUGGUGGGGUGAUGGCUUACCAAGGCUUUGACGGGUAGCCGGCCUGAGAGGGUGGUCGGUCACAUUGGGACUGAGAUACGGCCCAGACUCCUGCGGGAGGCAGCAGUGGGGGAUAUUGCACAAUGGGCGCAAGCCUGAUGCAGCGACGCCGCGUGGGGGAUGAAGGCCUUCGGGUUGUAAACUUCUUUUGCUCUGAACAAGGCGCACCAGUGGGUGUGUUGAGUGUAGGGGUUGAUUAGCGCCGGCUAACUACGUGCCAGCAGCCGCGGUAAUACGUAGGGCGCGAGCGUUGUCCGGAAUUAUUGGGCGUAAAGGGCUUGUAGGUGGCUGGUUGCGUCUGUCGUGAAAGCUCAUGGCUUAACUGUGGGUUUGCGGUGGGUACGGGCUGGCUUGAGUGCAGUAGGGGAGGCUGGAAUUCCUGGUGUAGCGGUGGAAUGCGCAGAUAUCAGGAGGAAUACCGGUGGCGAAGGCGGGUCUCUGGGCUGUUACUGACAC